Molecule: ribosomal RNA, 526 nt
Filed under: Entodinium sp.
Lineage: Eukaryota; Ciliophora; Litostomatea; Entodiniomorphida; Ophryoscolecidae
Description: SSU rRNA
Rfam family: Eukaryotic small subunit ribosomal RNA
Source: RNAcentral
GUUAUUGUUUAUUUGAUACAUUAAAUGGAUAACUGUAGAAAAACUAGAGCUAAUACAUGCUAAGGCCGCAAGGUUGUAUUUAUUAGAUAUUCCGAUAAGGUGAAUCAUAAUAACUUCGCAAAUCUCAUCCAUGAUGAGAUAAAUCAUCCAAGUUUCUGCCCUAUCAUGCUUUCGUUGGUAGUGUAUUGGACUACCAUGGCUCUCACGGGUAACAGGGAAUUAGGGUUCGAUUCUGGAGAAGGAGCCUGAGAAACGGCUACUACAUCUACGGAAGGCAGCAGGCGCGUAAAUUACCCAAUCCUGACUCAGGGAGGUGGUGACAAGAUAUAACAACGAGACUUAUAAUCUCGAUUGUAGUGAGGGUAUUCUAAAUAGAACCUAUAGUACGAUUAGAGGGCAAGUCUGGUGCCAGCAGCCGCGGUAAUUCCAGCUCUAAUAGCGUAUAUUAAAGUUGCUGCAGUUAAAAAGCUCGUAGUUGGAUUUCAAGGAUUUUAUUCCCUUCCGGGAAUAUAUCCUACUAGUCAUU